GACGAACGCUGGCGGCGUGCUUAACACAUGCAAGUCGAACGGAAAGGCCCUGCUUUUGUGGGGUGCUCGAGUGGCGAACGGGUGAGUAACACGCGAGUAACCUGCCCUUGACUUUGGGAUAACUUCAGGAAACUGGGGCUAAUACCGGGUAGGAGCUCCUGCUGCAUGGUGGGCGUUGGAAAGUUUCGGCGGUUGGGGAUGGACUCGCGGCUUAUCAGCUUGUUGGUGGGGUAGUGGCUUACCAAGGCUAUGACGGGUAGCCGGCCUGAGAGGGGGACCGGCCACAUUGGGACUGAGAUACGGCCCAGACUCCUACGGGAGGCAGCAGUGGGGAAUAUUGCACAAUGGGCGGAAGCCUGAUGCAGCAACGCCGCGUGCGGGAUGACGGCCUUCGGGUUGUAAACCGCUUUCGCCUGUGACGAAGCGUGAGUGACGGUAAUGGGUAAAGAAGCACCGGCUAACUACGUG
Molecule: ribosomal RNA, 468 nt
Filed under: uncultured bacterium
Lineage: Bacteria
Description: partial 16S ribosomal RNA
Rfam family: Bacterial small subunit ribosomal RNA
Source: RNAcentral